AACGGUCUAUACCUGCGGUACCUGCGGAAGGAUCAUUACAGAGUGUUCUACCCCCUUGUAAAAUGGUGGGUUUAACCUCCCGUCCUUUGCCAGACCCCCCCUUUCGUUGGGGGGCCUUUCAAACCUUUCUGCUUCGGCGGGGUUACCCGUCGGAACACCCUCAAAAAUUCUUGGUCAAAACUGUUCGGUCCGAGAAACUUAUGAAAAUUGAAGCAAAACUUUCAACAAUGGAUCUCUAGA
RNAcentral lists this unclassified non-coding RNA (240 nucleotides) under soil metagenome. Its description in RNAcentral is "partial contains 5.8S ribosomal RNA, internal transcribed spacer 2, and large subunit ribosomal RNA". The record is from RNAcentral.